CUCAUCCAGGAGCAACGCUAGGUGAAAUGUGGAAAACCACACCCAGCAUCGGAACACACAGAACACGAGUGAGCAGCCUCCGUUCACUGCAAGUACUGAGUCACACUUACCCAGUCCUGGGAUUAGAACUCACCCUCUGAUUCCAGCUGACUCUCCUUCCACAGCUUCACCUUAAUUCAUGAGCUGCAACCCUUCCUAUGCCCACUUCUACAGGCACACUUCAGGUCUUUUCCAAGUAUUCAACUUACACUAUUACAAAAUUUGAAUCUCACAAUAACCCACUGAAAAAGCCAAUGAAUCUUCCUUUAUUACAAAAGAAGAAGAAGCCUCAGAAAAGGUUGAAAUCCUAACCCCCAAAGCAAUGGUAUCAGAAGGUGGGGACUUUGGAAAGCGAUUAAGUCAUGAAUGAGAUUAGCGACCUUAUAAAAGAGACCCCAGAGGGCUCAUUUGCCCCUGCUGCCAUGGGAGGACACAGCAAAAUGACAGCCUUCUACAAACCAGAAAGUGGGCCUUCAACACACAGUCAAUCUGUCUGUGAGAAAUAAAUUCCUGUUGUUUAUAAACCAGUUAGUCUACGGUAGUUUGUUACGGCAGCCCAAAUGGACUAAGGCAGUAAGUAAGAGAGACACUACAGGAAGAACUUUAAAUCAAUUUGAACUGAUUUUUAAAAAACACCUGCAAAUUUUAAUACUUCAUUAUCAGUAACAAGCAUCAGUAACAAUUCAUUUUCAAGUAAAACAUCACAAAGCUAUAGUAAAAAAAUAAACUGAUGCACUGUAUCACCUCCUGAAUAAAUGUGUAAUUCCAUACAAAAUAAAUUUGUUCCCUAUGGCUAUACUGUUCUGUGUAAAAAAAACUCAAUAGAUUAUAUAUUUCUUACAAAUUGCAUUAAGUACAUAUACAUACUCAGUGUUUUUCUAAAACUGUAACCUUUUAAAUAAUGUAACCAUCUAUAUUAUUAGGUGGAACCGAAAAUGAAUAGAUUAAACUAGGCCUCCAAAACAAAUUAUAAACUAAGUAAUAAAUAAGAAAAAAAUUAAACAACAAAAUAAGAAUCCACCCAGUAUAACACAAGCAAAUCAGCCAACUGUCAUACAGAGCAGCAUCUGGGUCAAUAUUUAUUAUUGUAUUUGGUAACUGCAAUCAACAGGAAUAAUAUGAAACACAGAAGCCAUACACACUUUCAUACAAAUUUUAAAUGUAAUAUUAACAUUACCUGUCAUCAAGAACUGUAAUAAUUUCUCCAGCUUUAAAAGUAAGUUCAUUGUCUUCAGCAGCUUCAAAGUCAUAUAUAGCACGAACUUUUCG
RNAcentral lists this long non-coding RNA (1308 nucleotides) under Homo sapiens (human). Its description in RNAcentral is "HSALNT0159580". The record is from RNAcentral. Lineage: Eukaryota; Metazoa; Chordata; Mammalia; Primates; Hominidae.